UGGCGGGCGAAGCAGGAACCGCCGUUCUGUGAGGCGGUGAGGCCGGAGUGGAUCUUGACACUCCUGCUCUCCGCUUGUUUUCCGGUCCUGUCCCCGCGGCGGAAGCGUGAGCCGCCCAGGGCGCUGCGGCCGAGGCCUUCAUCAAGGCUAUAGGCACAGGCCGCAGAGCUUGAGUGAGAAAUUCUCCAGAAAUAGCUAGAACGUCGAUGCUGGAAAGGACGCUGUGGUCAUCCAGUCCAUCUGGUUACCUGCAGUGCGUAGACUCAGGUUUCCUCAUCUCUUGCUUAUGGGUAUCACGAUCUUCAUUAUAUUUCAUUAUAUAUCGCUUUUGGGUAGGUGUUCUUGGCAUUUGUCAUAUAUCUGAAGCCUCUGGCCUUUAAUAAACUUAAUACUUUUCUGUA
Molecule: long non-coding RNA, 401 nt
Organism: Camelus dromedarius (Arabian camel)
Lineage: Eukaryota; Metazoa; Chordata; Mammalia; Artiodactyla; Camelidae
Exons: 2
Source: RefSeq, a predicted model, not a curated record